AGUAGAGACAGGUCCAGGAGCAUCUGUAUUUAUUGGGUAUAGGUUGGGGGCAGGGUAGUGAGUGAGGUUAACUUAAGGAUAGUGAUAGGGUCAAGAUAAUCACGUGUGUGAUAAGCAAAGGGUCCACCCGCAUUAGGUCACCGAGGCAAGGAGGUGGGCCGUGCACAGCGAAGAGGGUGCAGUG
This is a long non-coding RNA of Cebus imitator (Panamanian white-faced capuchin), 184 nucleotides long. RefSeq lists it as uncharacterized. The record is from RefSeq and is a predicted model, not a curated record. The transcript is spliced from 3 exons. Lineage: Eukaryota; Metazoa; Chordata; Mammalia; Primates; Cebidae.